Molecule: long non-coding RNA, 2603 nt
Organism: Ostrea edulis (European flat oyster)
Lineage: Eukaryota; Metazoa; Mollusca; Bivalvia; Ostreida; Ostreidae
Exons: 3
Source: RefSeq, a predicted model, not a curated record
UUCAUCAGUUACAGCAUGUAUACCAGAACUAGUAAAUACACAAUUGGCUGGAAAAAGAGCAAUAUGGACUUGUAUAAUUAUAUAAAUGGGUAUGUUUAAUUGUUCAGAAUGCAAAGUUGCAGUAUGUAUUCACAUAGACAUAUAUAACGGAUAACAUAUUUUAACUGUUGAAUAAACAUUUGAGGGUGGGUUAGUGAUGUUUUCAUAACAAUAACAGGUACACUGGUCAUCUCUGGUCCCAGCCUAUGCUUAUUAACACUUGUCCACUGACACUCUGCUUCCUGGGCUCAGGUAAUGUCCAGCUACCUUUUAUUCUUAAUCUAUCCAGGUACAUGUAUUAAGAGGUCUGUCUCCAAUAAUCAAGCUAUGUUAUAGAACUGUGACCCUCUGGUAGGUACUGAAGAUAUUUCGGUCAGUUUUAGCAAACCAAAUAUAUUAAACUUAUGAAAUUACAUUUGAUUAUCUAAUGAAAAAUAUUAAUCAACAAUUGAUCCAUAUAAUGAAAAGACUUAAUUUAUCUUUGCAAGAAAUGUACAAAAAUAGGAAAAUGGACAGUUUAAAUUACAAUUGACCACUUGGGGAGUAUUGACCGGGACGGUUAAAACCACUAGUUAAAACCGGUUUUAACCGCCCGACCCUGCUAUGCCUCUAUGGUAUUCAGAGAUAGUUAAGUGAAUUUAUACAUUACUUGAUUCUCCUAACUACUACUUUAUGGCAUAAAUUGAAGAUUCAGUCCCUGGUGUUGCCUGUGUUGGAGAUCUUUUAUUUUGAAAACAAUAGUGCCAUAGCUAUAGUGCCACACAACCAAAGAAUGUAGUAAACAUACUACUACCUUUGCAUGUAUUAAUUAGCAAAUUAAGGUACUAGUAAAUAUAAAUGUAAGGAACAAAUGUCUAGGGUGUUUUUUAUCUAUUAAAAAGAUUGUAUCAAACUCUAAAUCUAAUAAGUAAAAUUUUGUAAUAUCCCAGCUUCAGGAAGUUUAUCCUAUCAUAAUGGAGGUGAUUAGCUACUUUGAACCUACUUUCAUGGAUCUACCAUAUUAUUUUUUUUUUACUAUAACAUUUGACUUUAUGUUACUUUUCAAAGAAGGUGUAAUUUAUAUGUAUAACGUGCAUCACAUGCAAUUUUAAUGAUGCAGGCAAAUAAUUUUGAUGCAAUUGAAAAGGCAAGCGUGAACUGUAGAUCUACCCAGAUUAGAUUCAAUAAGAAUUGAAGGUCAAAACCAUGGUGGUAACACAAAGCAUCUGCAUACAAGAUUUUUUAGGCUUGUUAAAUGGAAAAAUUAUAUGAAAAUAAUAGUCUCCAGUAAUAUCUACAUUUUAACUCAUAUGAGAAAUCUUAUAACAGUUUCAAUACUCAGAUCAUGAGAUGGAAACCAAUGUAAUUGAGACGAAAAGGGAGUACAACUCGAAAUAUCAAGAAAAAACAAGAAAGGCCAUUGUGAAUCAGCAGAUGAUGUCCUAUACAACCAUCCCUCCAUGACACAUGCAAUGGGAAGUUUAUUUCAGGAAACAAAGCCUGUCUGAAACUCCAAAAUGACAUUUCCAGAAAGCUGAAGAAUGGAUAAAAAUGUAUCUACCAUCUUACAACCCAUAUUUCAUUCCACUGAAAAGAAAAGGGACAGGAAAUGUUGCAUGUCCAUGUCUUGGAAGGUGAAUAGGUGGAAAGUCAAUAGAUGCUUACUAUAUCAGAUGCUUGCAGAGGAUACUGGGGAUAAAGUAGCAGAAAAUUAUGGAAAACAGGAAGUGGCAGCCAGGACUGACAUCAAUGCAAUAAACAAUGAGCUGAGGAGAUGGUGAUGGAACUAUAUAGGACACGUGCUGUAGAGGGGAGGUGACAAUGACAGUGAGAUGGCCUUAGGUUGGACACCAGAAGGGAAGAGGGCAUUUAAGAGACCGAAAACAACCUGGAGAGGAACAGUAGAAGCAGAAAGAAAGAUUGCAGAAUGAAGAAACUUGAAUGAGAUCAAGAUGGUAGCAAUAGAACAGAGUGGAUUGGAGAGAGUCUGGUCCUAUGUGUUUUGGCAUGGAGAGAACUAAGUAAUGUCUAGAUUAUUGGAGAUAGGAUGACCAGGAAUAUGAAUGGAUGUGCUGGAAACUGUACUAAGACCCUUAUGUAUUUGGAUAGAUUUACAUACCAUCAUGAUUUUGCUAUGAAAAACUUGAAAAAAAUUCUCAACUCAUAUUGUAGCUGACAUUGUACAUUUGUACUUAUUAAUAUUUCAAAUGAACAUAUUUUUAGACAUACAAUAUCUAAACUUUGGAGUCCACGUACAUCUCCACAUUGGAUAAUAGGUUAUGAUAUAUGUGUGUGAAAUCUUUUCCUAUGGUAUGCACAUGUUAACACAUUAGUUUAAAUGAUGAUCUAUAUCUUAUGACUAUGGAAGAGAAUGUGUUCAGAACAGAAUAUGUGUCUAGAAGAGUUGUUGCCCUUGAAUGUAAUUCAUUAUUUACAUGGGGUUGAAAAAUAAUCCAGCACACAGUAGUACUAAAUACAUUAUGUUAAAAUACAUUUAUGAAUGGUAUAAGUGAUACUGUUAAUUACUGAUUAAUACACUUUGUGAAAUCAUAUUAUUGUUAUGUUUAAUAAAUUUCAAGGCUGCA